Long non-coding RNA from Cherax quadricarinatus, 404 nucleotides. RefSeq lists it as uncharacterized. The record is from RefSeq and is a predicted model, not a curated record. NCBI's taxonomy places the organism in Eukaryota, Metazoa, Arthropoda, Malacostraca, Decapoda, Parastacidae.
GUUUGGCUGGCGAGGGGUUUGGGCACGCUACUCGGCCCCCUGACCCGCUCCUCACUGGCAUUGCUGCUACUCGCAAUAGCUGCGAGUGCUCACACCCUCACUGUGUCCUACACCAUGCUUGGUGACUGAAGAAAUGAAUGCAAAGUGAUCGUAAAAUCAAAUAUAACGAAGGCUAAGAACGUGCAUAUUAGAAAAAUAAGUGUUACGUAAAGGUCAAUGCCCUCGAUGUGGCGAGUAUCAGCCGAGUCGAGUGGAAAGGUGCUGAUCAGCAGCUAUAUAUAUCUCACUCAUCAAUUAACCAGCUUGUACAGAUUGCUGGAGGAGCAUCUUUUGUUUCUCCACGCCGACUGGUAUCUCACAAUGUGAGUGAGAUGGUGGUGCAGGCUGCAAGUGAAGGUGAGUUG